GUGAACAUUUAAAAAAAAUUAAAAACAAUUAAAACAAGAAAAAUACAAAGUCUAUAUAUUGAUCCUUAAUACACAUAGCCAAUAUGUAUCUCUGAUUAUUUCACAGAUACAUCAGCAUAAUUUUAACAAUAUUUAAUAGACAAUAGAGCUUGAAUUAGAUUUUAUGUACAAUAACAAUAUGGCAAAUACACAGCAAAAUGUUAAAAUAAGAUGAUAAAAUAAGCAAUAGUGCUGUUAAUUAUGUUUCAGAUUUAGCUGGGAAAAAUUGUUCUGAAGAUAACGUUUAAACCAGUCUAUAGUUUAUUCUAAAAAUUAUAUACACCUGCAUUCAACAUUUUGAUCAUUUUAAUCAUUUUAAUUAAUUUAAAAAAUAAACCUAAUUUCACUUAUUUAUUGUUUUUUACUUGCAACUUUGUUGUUGUUGUUGGACAACUGAUGUACUCUAGGCACUGUAUUAUGUACUGGUGGCACAUAAUAGAGACUGAUACUUCUCACCUACACUUACAUACUAAAAGUAAUAAUAAACGGUCCACACAAUUAUAAUCAGUGUUACUAAUUUUAGGGUGUAAGUUUCAGUAAUGUUUUAUCAGAUGUCAAUUCUGAUUAGUAUUUGAAAGGCACCAUAAUAAAAGAUAUAAUUACUUGAAAGAAGAGAAAUGAUGAAAAAUUAAUUUUCCUUUAAUAAUAAAAACAUCUUAUUUAGCAUAUGAAAUUAAGAGAAUAAAGUGGGUUCAUUGUUUAUGUCCAACACAGUACAUAAUUAUAUAUUGUUAUGAUAGAAUAAAUUUUUUACAACUCAGAAAAAGAGCUCUGUGAGACUAAUGACAGUUUCUGGCCAUCUAGACUAUAUUUUUUAUUCCAUUAAUUGUCCAAUGACGUAUUUGUAUCUUAAACCUGGAGCCAAAAAACCCAACUUAUUUUGACAUCUUGACAGCAUUCUCAAAGCAUUAAAAAAAAAAGUGAUAUUUGUAGCAAAAUAAACCUGUGAAGUUAGGGGUAAUUCUAUUUUAAUCUAGUUGUAUAUUCAAUGUAAUAGACUCCUCUAACACCUAUGGAUUCUAACAGCUAUUAGGACCACCUUGAAUAUGGUUCCACAUUAUUACAAGUUUUUAAGAAAUGGUCUCUGAUGUCAUGGACUUGGGUGCUGGGAUAGAAGAAUUCUAAAAAUAACCCUCAAUGGCCCUUUCCUUGUAUCAUUGCUCCUUUAUCUGUGGACAGAAUUUAUGAAUAUGACUAGAUGUUACUCCAUGAUUAUGUUACAUUACCUGGCACAAGUAAUUUUGCAGAUGUAAUAAACAUUGUUAAUCAGUUAACCUUAAAAUAGAUUAUUUUGGUCAGCCUAAUCAAAUGACAAAGCUCUUUAAAAACAGAGUUUCUUUUGUUUAGUUACAGAAUGAAAAGGAGAGAGAUUGUAGGUAUGAGAAGGGCGCUUCCCUGCUGCCUUUGCAGGUGCAGAGGGCCUUGGGAGAAGGAACACAGGCCAGCCUCUAGGAGUGGAGAAUGGCCUCCCGGCAGAGAGCUGACAAAACAAAACAAAACAAAACAAAACAAAACAAAACAAAACAAAACAAAACGGUACCCCAGAUUUAUAGCCACAAACAACUGGAUUCUGUUGACAAUCUAGGUGAGUGUGGAAGCAGAUUCUUCUCCUGAGACUCUAAGCAAGCGCCUGGAACUGCCAAUUCACUGAUUUCAGACUGUGAGAACAUAAGAGAACUCAGUCCAGCUGAUCCAAUCCUGACCUAGUUAUAAGACCAAUAAAUGGGUAUUGCUUUAAUCCUUUGAGUUUGUGAUAAUAGAAAACUGAUACAGGUAUGAAUCCAGCUUCUGCCACUUCUUAGGUGUACAAAUAGGAUAACUUAAGGAGUUAUUGUGGGGAUAUUAUGGGGGAUACAGAGAAGGGAAAAUACGGUUGAAAUGCAUAGCAUAAUGGAGCAUAACAAUAAAGAAAAUGAGCUAAGAAGAAAAAUAUAGACCUUUACUUUAAAUGAAUCAUGUAUUAUACACAAGAAGAAAAAUCUUAAACUAAGUGUUAAAAUGGUUUUAAUGCUAAACAUUUCCUAUUCUAUUGUUAAACUAGUAUGCAUUGAAUUAAACUGAUAGUUAUAGUGCUAAUCACAACUGCUUCUAAAUCCCAGAAGAGCCCCUUAUAUAGAAAGUGUACACAAUAAGAAUACAAAUACCAACGUAAAAAAGCAACAGAAAGAAACACAACAACGCAUAUGCCAACAUGGAGAACUUUGUAUGAAUUCAUUCCAUUCUCAUCGUCCAUUUAUUUGCGCUUUUUGUGUACUAACCUCUAAUAGCUUUAUGUAGUGCUAAGAGACAAAGUGGGGCAUGUUAAAAAUUCUUUUAGUUGUGCAUUUACGAAUUUGAAUAAAGUACGCGUCAAACCAUGAGAAGCGAGGAAUGAUCCAGCAAGUGGAGCCAGGCAGGGGGAGAAAAGGCGGAAGCAAAGCAAGGGCCUCAUUGAUUGGCUAUAGCCUAGAUAGCGGCUUGUGAUUGGUUGUCCUUAGGUUUCGCUCUGAUAACUUUGAAGCUUUUGCGGUUUCGAUUUGGUUUGUUUACCUCAGCCGCCGGGUAUUAGAGCUAUGUCAGGCUAAUGGUCUUGUUUUAUUACGAGUUAGUACUCGUAGGCGUAUUUUAAACUGAAACUGAGGAGCAGAGAGAUUUCAUAACUUGCAGAAGACCGCACAGAGAUAUAAAUUCUACCUAUAUCUGAUUACUGUGAACGGCUAAGGAACUUCUGUGUUUAUUUUACUUCCUAUGAAAUGGAUCACUACCAUUCAAAAUCUUCAUUUGUGUUUAUUUUAAAUGUACUUCUGUCUGUCUAGCCCUGUCAAAGCCUCUCUACAUUUCUGAAACAACUUGUGGUAUUGAUAUAGGUGAAGAAUGAAGUUCUGGGAUCAGAAUAAGCUGUCUGGGUUCAAAUCACAGUACUCAGAUUACUGGCCUUGUGAUGUUUUGCAAAUCAAUCUUAUAGUGAUUGGGUUCUGCAUCUGUAAAAUUUGAAUCAUAAUUGGAUAUCAUCAUAGAAAUUAUUAUGACUGUAAUUGAAAUAUCAUGUAGUAAGGCUUAGGGCUAAAAAAGACUGGCACAGAGUAACUGCUUACUGUACAUAAACUAGCACUAACAAUAAUGAAGAUGAUAAGAAUUUCCUUUAUGAUAUAACUUUUAACUUUGCAUUGCAGUGUUCUGUGUAUGUAUCUUAAUCUUUUGAAAAUGAGAACCAUAAAAGACAGUACUAUUUUGUUAUUAUAUACCAAACACAUAGAAUAGAAUAUAUUUAUUUAACAAUAAUUAACAAAAAUAUUUGUUAAAUAAAUGAACAAAUACGUGCAUAAAUGAAUGAAAAUUUUCAGGGAACUUAGAGGUAUGGCUGAUUAAAUUGUAUAGUAACUUGCAUACUUUGCCCUUUUUAUUUCUAAUAAAGCAUUUAAUUUGCCUGUGAUAGAUAGAGAAUAAAUUAUUAGAAAGUCAUUUGCUGUGUUCAACACACACACACACACACACACACACAGAAAACAUAUAUAUUGUUUGGAGGUUGAAUGACCACCUCAAAUUUGAUGAUUUACUGGAAGAACACAAAAAAUUCUUCCUUCCUUCCUUCCUUCCUUCCUUCCUUCCUUCCUUCCUUCCUUCCUUCCUUCCUUCCUUCCUUCCUUCAUGUUUUCUUAGAAUUCCAAACAGCCUCCAUCCCACAGACCAUGAGAUCAUGACCUGAACUGAAAUCAAGAGUUGGAUGCUUAACUGACUGAGCCACCCAUGUGCCCCAUGAUUCUAUAUAAUAGUAAAUUAUACUCAUGGCCAAGGUUUAUUAAAGCCACAGAUACACAACAAAAUCAACAAAACAAAUGCAGAUUGGAUGGAGUCCAGAAAGAAGACACAGGUUUCCAACUUCCUUACCAAAGGCUACACAGAACUUUCUUUCUUUCUAGAAGCUUACUACAAGAAUAUGUGUGGAAUGUCUCUGCCUAUAGAAACUUAGUUAAGUCUAAGAAUCUGGGGAUUUAUGAAGGGCAGGUCACAUAGCCACAUCGUUUUAUACUCCCAGCCAUAGCAACAGAAAGUCAGGACCCCCAACAACCAAAUUACACAUCAUCAAUCUUGAAUUUUGUGCAAAGAAAGCCUGAGACACUGGUACAGGAUGGUACAUUGUUCUAAUUAAAUAACAAAAUCAUCAAUCACUAACAUUAAGAACCUUCUAAGGGCCACAUUCCCAGGUGUUGGCCAAGGGCCAGUCAAGAUUCAAAGUUCUCUUGGAGAUAUGCAAGUAGUGAGCAGUCAUACCUACUAUUUAACUCUUUCCUAACAUGUAAAGAAAUAAUCUUCAUUGUAAGAGCAAAAGGCUUACUAUAGAAAAUUUGGAAAUUAUACAAGUAUUUUACAUUUAUAAACACCCUAGUCACAAAACCCAAAGAAUGGUUAGUAUUUUAAAUGUUAUUUUUGCAGGCAUAUAUUGCUAGUACAGUUUAAUCAUAUUACCAGUUUGUUUUAUUAGUAUGUGAAUAUGUUUUCCAAUGACUGACAAAAUAAAAAUUUUAUUUUACUUGCUUUAUUCUUUGGUUUAAAUAUGAUUGCUUAACUUUUUAUGUUCAUAUUAUUAUUACUUUCUUAGUUUUACAAAGGCUGUUGUAUCUAUGAAAUUUUUUUCUAUUUGUGGUAAUUUCUUCAGCAUACCUUCAGAGAAGAGAAAAUUGUUGGCAAACCUUCACACAAAUCUGAUAAAGUCUGACUUAGACUUUAGGGUUCUGGCUUGGCAUACAAGGAAUGUGGAAGUCCUGACUCUGUCCUAAUAACAAGUAAAACUGUGGUCACAAUUUCAGCAGCAAUAAUAAUAAGUGUAAAUUCUUGGGUGUCACCCUAGAACAAAUAAGCAGAAACUCGGGGGUGGAGCCAAGCAAUCUGUGUUUUAACAAACCAUCUUGGUGAUUCCAACACUGGCCAAAGUAAGCAACUUGGGACAGCUCUGGGUUCUCAAAUGAACUGCAGAUUUUAGAAAAGAAAGGAAUAGAAAAUCUAAAAUAAAUAAUGAUUUUUGUAAUCAUGGCUUAGGAUUUCCAGAUGGAAGAGAGGAAAUGCAGCAAAAGGAGAGAGAUGAGAGUUGGUUCACAUGAAGUUUUGCAAAGGCAUUAGGAGCAGUGUUUAGGGCUCUUUUGCUAUAGCACCUUGUUUGGAAGGAAGGAAUGGAGGGAGGAAGGAAGGGAGGAAGGAAAGAAAGAAAAGAGAGCAGGACCAGUAUUUUAUUCACUCUUGCAAGUAAAAUACCAAGAGCUAGCUAGAUUCUAGGCCUCAAACUGCAUUGUCAGAUGUCUUUUGCUUUCUCUUGUUUAUACUUUUCUCUCUUUUGUGUUGGCUUCAAUCUCCAGCAGGUUCUUUCUAAUAUGUAAAAAUGGGCCUCGGUUUUUUUAUGCUUUACGUCCUUAAAAUUGAUCACAUCUAUGUCAGUGAUCCCGGAGGUCUCCAAUUACUGCUGCACAUGACUGGGUUCAACCCUGUAGUAACCACGGCUCUGGAAGAUUGAAAUUCAAGAAGACUGAUUUGAGUUAUGUGUCCAUUCUUGUAUUGGGUGGGGUUGACCAUUUGACAUAUUGCCUCCCCAGGGUGACCUGUUCUGGGACAUAAGAUAGCCCUGGGGAGAUAAUGAGCAAAAUGCAGUGCUACAGAUGGCUGCUUUAUAAGAAUUGAGCAGAUAUAUUUGUCCCUUUGGAAAUUUUGAGGUAAACUAGCAUAUGAGGCAAAUAGACUCAGUCCUAAUUCAUUCUUGGCAUGAAAAUUAACUGGGUUUAGUCCCAAAAGCUUAAGCAAUAAUUUGGAAGCAGUCUGACUCAGCAGCUUUUAUAACUUCCUAGGUGGCAGGGCAGGAUUCUGAACUAUUGGAGAGAAUUCAAGUUAGAUAAAGACUAAAUAGUGUCCAUUCAAAUUAGUGACAAAAAACCAUUGGUGACCUUGGCAACAAAAGCUACAAUGGAUUGACAGCAAGGGAGCCAGAUGGCAGUGCUUUGAGAAGUGUGAAUGAUAAAUGAGGCAACAGAGACAGGGGGAAGAAAAUGCUUUUAAAAUGUUACAUAGUAAAGCAAAGUUAAUGAAAAUAGAAGUUUUCUCAACUUAUAGAAAAUAUGAUAACAGUCAUUAUCACUGUGUUGUAGAAUUACAAGUAACUAUAAUUUUGUUCAUAUUUUUCAUACAUUCUAAAUUUACUACAUUGAACAUGUAUUACUUUAUAGUGAGGAAAAAAAUAAACAGACUUUUAAAAAUAAGCAUUUAGGCUAAAACCCUGAAAAUGCUGUAAGGCAAAAAAAAAAAAAUGCAUCAAACUCAAAAUCCAAUUUCCGGCGCACAACCAAAUAAGGUGAACAUCUGGAUCUCCUGAAGCAAAUGGAGAGUUGUGUGCUUGGCCCUGUAGCUGCUCAGUAGAUCCAGUGAAUUCACAGAAGAGUUCAGGUUUAGACCCCGGAGCUGUUAUGGCAAACUGUACAUCUAAUUGACAGCUUUUCUGCUCAAAACAUCAAUAAUCAUUCAUUGUGGGCUCUAGAUCCUGAGCAAGACUCUGAGGGCUCAUUUCAGCAAGUUAUAGCUUUGCAGUAACCUUUGCAGAUUUAUAUAAGGAUCUUACAGUGUAAAAGACAAAGUGGGACAGUGUUAGGGACAUGUUCUUACUCACUAAAAACCUAGGUUAAAGCUCUGCCUUAAAAAAUACACACACGCACAGGUGUGUGCAUGCACACACACACACACACACAGCUAUAAAACCAAAACUUUCUAUCAUUUUCCAUGUGUUCUCAGCUAAAAUUUACUGAGUCAACCGCCUAUGGAGCCAUUAAUUUUUAGUUUUCCAUUGCAUUAAAGUGUAACUAACACAAUGACAAAAAUGUAGAGAGCAAAUUAUUGAUAUAAAGAUAUAUUGAUGGAUCUUAAGUUAUUCUUGUUAUUGUUCUAGUGAAAAUAGUUUGAAGAUUUACCUUUAUUGCUAUAUGAUGGCUCAUUUUUGAGGAACUUAGCCCCUUUACUGGGAACAAUAUCUAGACCUGUAUAGUCCCGUGUGAUAACCGCCAUCUACCUGUGGCUAUUUAACUUUAAGUUGAGCUAGAUUUCAGUAAAGAAAAUUAUUCAGCCAUUCUAAAUACAUUCUGUGUACUCAAUAGCCAGAUGUGGCUGGUGGCCACCAUACAUUUCCGUCAUACAAACAGUUUUUUUGAAUAAAACUGGCAUAGAUGUAGACUUCUUGGAAGUUAACGGGUGCCAUUUACUCCAGAAGCUGGUAAGAAUGAUCAGUUUUGUAUUAAAUGAUGGCUGUAGGAGAGAUGACUAGGUUUCCUCAGAUCAUCAAUAUUCAUUUAUUAACUGAUAUUAAUAAUAAUCAAGACUUCAUUUCUCACCCUUGCUUGAAGUUGAUAAUACCAAGUGACUAAAUUUCAACUGCAGAUGAGCAGUCGUGCCUUUUAGUGGUCUGCAGGAACUUUCUGAAGGAGAAAGCUGACACUUGGUCUAUACUACUUCAUUGAGGAAAUGAGCUCCAUCUUGGACUACUAAGGUGAAGGUCAUAGCUAGAAAUGAUGAGGUGGAAAUAAGAUACCUGAGAUCCUGAUGGGCCAGCACUGCCGUAUCAACCCAGGGUAGAGUAACUGGAAAAGAACUAUAGCUGUACCAUGUUUAACCACUGUAUUUUAGGUCUUUAUAACUCAGGCACAAACCAGAGAAUAAAGAAUUUUGUGUGGUAGUACACAUGGGUUUCCAUGAUGGCAAUCACCUCUGAAUCAUCGGAGGACCUGGCUUUUCCUGGCAAGUAGGUGUAAGAGAUGGAAAACAGGUAACUGCUCUUUAUAUUGAGAGAGUUGUGCAGAUACAGCCAACUCCUGAUUCACAUUUAUUCUUUUCUCUUGUUGACUAAUUGAAUAAUGAUUUGGUUAAGAGAAAAUGAGUACUUCUAGCUUUAUCAGCCUGAUUUCUUGUAGCUUCAUCUAGCCAUAUGUGUACCUCUGCCUGAUGAUAUGUAAGAAAAGUGUACUAGUCUUUAAAAAACAUUCAGUGUUCCCAUAUAAAAAGGGACAGAAUUAGCUUGGGCAUGUCCUUUGUCUUUUUCCCUUCACUCUUUUUCCUGAUAGAAUUUGAAAAUGGUACCUAAAAGUGGAGCAACCCCCCCUACAAUACGAAAAAGAAAAAUUUUAUAUUAAGAAGAGCAGAGAAGUUUUGUUUCAUGAUAGCAGUAAGUCACAAACUAUUGAACACAAUGAGAAAAAUCAGCUUUUAUUUG
This is a long non-coding RNA of Felis catus (domestic cat), 8254 nucleotides long. RefSeq lists it as uncharacterized. Lineage: Eukaryota; Metazoa; Chordata; Mammalia; Carnivora; Felidae. The transcript is spliced from 4 exons. The record is from RefSeq and is a predicted model, not a curated record.